CAUCUAAGUAGGGCGAGGAAGAGAAAUCAACCGAGAUUCCGCUAGUAGUGGCGAGCGAACGCGGAAGAGGCCAAACCAAGAGUAGUAAUACUUUUGGGGUUUUGGACAGCGUAAGGUAUUAACAACGGUUAGUUGAAUGAAAUGGGAAGUUCAACCAUAGAGCGUGAGAGUCGCGUAAACGAAAACUGAAGUUAGCCGGCUGGAUCCAGAGUACCGCCGGACACGUGAAACCCGGUGGGAAGACGGGGGGACCACCCUCCAAGCCUAAAUACUCUCCAAUGACCGAUAGUGUAAAGUACUGUGAAGGAAAGGUGAAAAGAACCCCUGGCGGGGAGUGAAAAAGAACCUGAAACCUUGUGCCUACAAGCACAUAGAGCGCGUCAAAGCGUGAUAUGGUACCUUUUGUAGAAUGGUCCGGCGAGUGAAUGUCACUAGCAAGGUUAAUGACUUAAGGUCAGGAGCCGCAGCGAAAGCGAGUCUUAAUAGGGCGACAUUAGUUAGUGGUAUUCGACCCGAAACCGAGUGACCUAGCCAUGAGCAGGCUGAAGUGGAGGUAAAACUCCAUGGAGGGCCGAACCCACUCCCGUUGAAAUGGUAGGGGAUGACUUGUGGCUAGCGGAGAAAUUCCAAUCGAACUCGGAGAUAGCUGGUUCUCUCCGAAAUAGCUUUAGGGCUAGCCUCAAUAUACAUUACCGCAGGUAAAGCACUGAAUGAGCUAGGGGGCGAAAGCUUACUGAACUCUAUCAAACUAAGAAUGGCGGAUAAUGAAAUAUUGGGAGUCACACUACGUGAGAUAAGUUUCGUGGUGGAAAGGGAAACAGCCCAGACCCACAGCUAAGGUCCCAAAGUACGGUUAAGUGGAAAAGGAUGUGGAGUUGCACAGACAACCAGGAUGUUGGCUCAGAAGCAGCCACUCAUUUAAAGAGUGCGUAAUAGCUCACUGGUCGAGUGAUUCUGCGCCGAAAAUUUAACGGGGCUAAAUCGUACACCGAAGCUUGGGAAUAUACAUUUGUAUGUUGGUAGGAGAGCGUUGUAUGCGGGGUGAAGUCAUAGCGAAAGCGGUGGUGGACUGCAUACAAGUGAGAAUGCCGGAAUGAGUAGCGAGAAUUAUGUGAGAAUCAUAAUGGCCGAAAGACUAAGGUUUUAGAAGGAAGGUUCGUCCGCUUCUAGUUAGCCGGGAGCUAAGGCGAGGCCGAAAGGCGUAGUCGAUGCACAUACGGUUGAGAUUCCGUAGCCACCUACGAUUUAAACUAAAGGACACAUCUGAAGGGCAUGACCCGGGCGUUGGUAGACCCGGGCGUAAGGGACCGAAAACAAGUAGGGAAGCAUGUUUGGAAGGUGGCGAGAAAAGUUUAGUGUAUAUAAUGUAGGUGCCCGUACUGCAAACCGACACAGGUAGUCAGGAAGAGAAUUCUAAGGCCAUCGGGAGAAGCGUUGUUAAGGAACUCGGCAAAUUGACCCCGUAACUUCGGAAUAAGGGGUGCUCACGAGAGUGAGCCGCAGUGAAUAGGUCCAGGCAACUGUUUAUCAAAAACACAGCUCUCUGCUAAAUCGUAAGAUGACGUAUAGGGGGUGACACCUGCCCGGUGCUGGAAGGUUAAGAGGAUGGGUGCAAGCUCAGAAUUGAAGCCCCAGUAAACGGCGGCCGUAACUAUAACGGUCCUAAGGUAGCGAAAUUCCUUGUCGGGUAAGUUCCG
This 1697-nucleotide ribosomal RNA is filed under the name human gut metagenome. RNAcentral describes it as "bacterial LSU rRNA". It matches the Rfam family "Bacterial large subunit ribosomal RNA", at positions 199 to 1985 of the family's 2925-position model. The record is from RNAcentral.